UACUAGCUUUGAAACAUUGAGGAUUAUCAACACAUACGGAGCUUUUGGCAGAUUCCAGCUGAACAAGGUCAGACUUAUGCAUCAGAAGUUAAUGCCAUAUUUGGAGAGACUAGUGCUCUCACUGCUAGGAAUGUUGAGGAAAUGUUCAUUGAAAUAACUCGUAAGUUACCACCAGU
Long non-coding RNA from Amphimedon queenslandica, 176 nucleotides. RefSeq lists it as uncharacterized. The record is from RefSeq and is a predicted model, not a curated record. Lineage: Eukaryota; Metazoa; Porifera; Demospongiae; Haplosclerida; Niphatidae. The transcript has 3 exons.